GAGUCCGGGUGAAGCCUUCCAGCAGUUGAGGUCAGGGAUGAAGUCUGGCUCCCGUAGGAGUCUGGACGAAGUCUUCCUGCGGCCAGAGUCGGAGACGAGAUCUGGCUCCCGUAGGAGUCCGGGUGAAGUCUACCUGCAAUUAAAGUCAGGGGCAAAGUCUGGCUCCCUUAGGAGUCCGAACGAAGUUUACCAGCAGUUGAGGUCGGGGAUGGAGCUCGGCUCCCGUAGGAGUCCGGGCGAAGCCUUCCAGCAG
This 253-nucleotide long non-coding RNA is filed under the name Elaeis guineensis (African oil palm). RNAcentral's name for it is "long non-coding RNA (EGUI_LNC052020)". The record is from RNAcentral. Lineage: Eukaryota; Viridiplantae; Streptophyta; Magnoliopsida; Arecales; Arecaceae.